RNAcentral lists this ribosomal RNA (729 nucleotides) under uncultured Pedosphaera sp. RNAcentral's name for it is "bacterial SSU rRNA". It matches the Rfam family "Bacterial small subunit ribosomal RNA", at positions 94 to 803 of the family's 1533-position model. The record is from RNAcentral. Lineage: Bacteria; Pseudomonadati; Verrucomicrobiota; Pedosphaerae; Pedosphaerales; Pedosphaeraceae.
AGUGGCGCAUGGGUGCGUAACACGUGGGCAAUUUGCCAAGAAGUUUGGGAUAACUCGCUGAAAGGCGAGCUAAUACCGGAUGUGAUGUUUGGGAGGCAUCUCCUGAACCUUAAAGCUGGGGACCGUAAGGCCUGGCGCUUCUUGAUAAGCCCGCGGCCUAUCAGCUAGUUGGUGAGGUAACGGCUCACCAAGGCUAAGACGGGUAGCUGGUCUGAGAGGACGACCAGCCUCACUGGAACUGAGAUACGGUCCAGACACCUACGGGUGGCAGCAGUCGAGAAUUUUUCUCAAUGGGCGAAAGCCUGAAGGAGCGACGCCGCGUGGGGGAUGAAUGGCUUCGGCCCGUAAACCCCUGUCAUUUGCGAACAAACCUUACCGGUUAACAACCGGUGAGCUGAUUGUAGCGAAAGAGGAAGGGACGGCUAACUCUGUGCCAGCAGCCGCGGUAAUACAGAGGUCCCAAGCGUUGUUCGGAUUCACUGGGCGUAAAGGGUGCGUAGGUGGUAAGGCAAGUCAGGUGUGAAAUCUCCGGGCUCAACCCGGAAAUGGCAUUCGAAACUACCUUGCUAGAGGGUUUGAGGGGGGACUGGAAUACUUGGUGUAGCAGUGAAAUGCGUAGAUAUCAAGUGGAACACCAGUGGCGAAGGCGAGUCCCUGGAAAACUCCUGACACUGAGGCACGAAAGCUAGGGGAGCAAACAGGAUUAGAUACCCUGAUAGUCCUAGCCCU